UUCGUUGUUAUGGAGAUGAAUUCACUUGAUUGAUGAUGUGAAGAUAUAUAAUUUGCUUCUGGAGUGCUGUUCUAUCUGGACUAAGCUUGGAGCAUCAAAUUAGAUCAUCAAAAUCUGGAUUGCCCGAGUCUGACGAUAAGCAUUAUGCAAGAGACAUCGUUUAAGGAUUGAUUACAUUCACUAGGAUAUCAAACUAGAUAACCUUGCUCGUAGAAGUGGAGAAAGGAUUGACACUUGGUAGCAAAGCUUGGAGAUUUUGG
Molecule: long non-coding RNA, 260 nt
Filed under: Manihot esculenta (cassava)
Lineage: Eukaryota; Viridiplantae; Streptophyta; Magnoliopsida; Malpighiales; Euphorbiaceae
Description: long non-coding RNA (MESC_LNC000119)
Source: RNAcentral